UACAGAGGGGGCAAGCGUUAUUCGGAAUUAUUGGGCGUAAAGGGCGCGUAGGCGGCCUGGCAAGUGACGGGUGAAAGCCCUCGGCUCAACCGAGGAACUGCCUGUCAUACUGCCGGGCUUGGGUCCGGGAGAGGUGAGUGGAAUUCCCAGUGUAGCGGUGAAAUGCGUAGAUAUUGGGAGGAACACCAGUGGCGAAGGCGGCUCACUGGACCGGAACUGACGCUGAGGCGCGAAAGCGUGGGGAGCAAACAGG
RNAcentral lists this ribosomal RNA (253 nucleotides) under uncultured bacterium. RNAcentral's name for it is "partial 16S ribosomal RNA". It matches the Rfam family "Bacterial small subunit ribosomal RNA", at positions 524 to 776 of the family's 1533-position model. The record is from RNAcentral.